This 37-nucleotide transfer RNA is filed under the name Octopus vulgaris (common octopus). Its description in RNAcentral is "tRNA-Leu". RNAcentral also lists the same sequence under 1 other name. Lineage: Eukaryota; Metazoa; Mollusca; Cephalopoda; Octopoda; Octopodidae. The record is from RNAcentral.
UAGGAUUAUUUUAUAAAAGUAUAACUUUUACUUUAUA